RNAcentral lists this long non-coding RNA (626 nucleotides) under Equus caballus (horse). RNAcentral describes it as "lncRNA (ENSECAG00000046333.1)". Lineage: Eukaryota; Metazoa; Chordata; Mammalia; Perissodactyla; Equidae. The record is from RNAcentral.
CUUGAACCCGCCUGAGCCCAGCCCCCCUGGAAGUGUAUAUGUGGCUUGGGGAUGAAGGGGCUGCUCGUGUCUAACUCCUGGGGACCUGAACAGCUCUAACAGAGUGGACCACGGGGCAGGAGACAGGAUAAAUUCCUUGCAAUUGCUGAUCCGGAGGAGGAACCAUUUGAAAGGCCUUGCUUGGUGUUGCCUAGUUGCCUCCUGAAAUGUCACGCUGCUUUGUGUGGACAUUUUCCAGCAGAGUGUGAGAAUGCCCGGAGAACAUUGCGACGGGUUCAGCACACAGCCGCCCGGCUCAGAGAGUACACGACAUCAGGGGUCUCAGGUGUGCGGGCCCUCAUUCCUGAGGGCCAUGAGAGACUGAGCGCUGGGCCCUGAAGGAGGACCCCCUGGACGCCCCGCUCCCCACGCCGUCGCAUGGAAGCACAUUCCGGCCCUGCAGUGGGGGGAGCAGCCAAGAGGGCCCUGUGUGUGCCUCGGCGCCUGCCCCUGUGAACGGCAAGCUCGUGCUGGAAUCGCCGCCGUCUGUUGACUCCGUGGAUGCUGUGCGGAGGUCUGGGCGCUCCUCUCUCCCUCGAGCUUCUCUCCCGGGGAGAGCGAGGGAGCGGGAGAGGGGCCGAGGCUAG